GUCCACGCAGUAAACGAUGAGUGCUAGAUAUCGGGACUUUUGUUUCGGUGUCGCAGCUAACGCAUUAAGCACUCCGCCUGGGGAGUACGGUGCAAGAUUAAAACUCAAAGGAAUUGACGGGGACUCGCACAAGCGGUGGAACAUGUGGUUUAAUUCGAUGUCACGCGAAAACCUUACCAGGUCUUGACAUGAUAGUCGUAUGCCUAGGAAACUAGGCAGUCGGUUCGGCCGGACUAUCACAGGUGUUGCAUGGUUGUCGU
Molecule: ribosomal RNA, 260 nt
Filed under: uncultured bacterium
Lineage: Bacteria
Description: partial 16S ribosomal RNA
Rfam family: Bacterial small subunit ribosomal RNA
Source: RNAcentral